Molecule: RNA transcript, 4109 nt
Organism: Onychostruthus taczanowskii (white-rumped snowfinch)
Lineage: Eukaryota; Metazoa; Chordata; Aves; Passeriformes; Passeridae
Gene name: rho GTPase-activating protein 7-like
Exons: 13
Source: RefSeq, a predicted model, not a curated record
CGAGCCUCGGCCGGGCCGCGCUCCGCGCUGAGAGCCGCUGGGGGCUGCUGCCCCGCCUGCUCCUGCACAGCCAUGGGCCGCGGGCAGCAGGGCCUGCAGCCUUCCAGCCCGGCUUCAGAGGCAGGAGCUGAGGGAAUGGACCUGCCUUGGUCCUGACCUGUGGCUGCAGUGCCAGGGCUGGGGUGUGGUGAGGAUGAGGAUGAGGAUGAGGAUGGCAGCACGGGCGAGGCCCCACCUCAGGAGAUGCCUCAGCGAGCACCCCGGGGGCUCCACCAGCUGGGCCUGGGAUGGCUUCUGGAGAACAGCCAGGGAAAAACGCCUUGCAGAAAUUGAAGCCAGAGAAGCCUGCGACUGGCUGAGAGCUGCUGGAUUUCCCCAGUAUGCUCAGCUGUUUGAAGAUAUGCAGUUUCCCAUUGAUGUAAAAACUGUGAGGAGAGAUCAUGAAUUUUUAGAUGGAGAUGCGAUUGAAUCACUGUUCAGAAGGUUGAACACAUUGAACAAGUAUGCAUCAAUGAAAGUGGAAAUAAGCCGUGAUAGGAAACGGAGUGACGACUCAGAAGAUGAUGAGCCUUGUGCAAUAAGUGACAGAUGGGCUUAUGAGAGGUGCAGCCAGCGGUGGUCUCGCAUUGAGAGCCUGGCAGGAUUCCCAGCAGAGGAAGGGGCUGGUGCUCCCACCCCAGGCAGCCCAGUGUUGAAGAUCAUCAACAACAAGGAUAAUUUCUUUCUGGAUCAUGGUGAGAAGCACGAUGUGUCCUCAAUUCACAGCACCAGCAGUGCUGACAGUGACAUUGUUAACUCCCAAAAACCUUUUGAAGAUGUGGAAACGAGCACGAGCUCCUCAAGAUGUUCCUCAGUUAAGGUACCUUCACUGGACUCUGCUUUUAGUUGUUCUCCUCCCCCCAGUGAAUUUUUAAAUAUCACCAGUGAGGAGAAGCUUUUGGAUAAGUCACCAUCAAAAAAGAGGAAGAGCCUUCUAAAGAAAAUGGAGAAGCUGCACUUAAGGAGCUGCAAUUUAAGGAGUGGUCAGUCAAAGGCCAGACCCAUAAUAAGUGAACCUGUUCUUCUGGAAGGACUUAAUGAAGAAAAGAUGAAGAUGCUGAACUGUGUAAAUAUUUCUGACCUCUCUGGCAUCCGAACAAAGAACAAUUCCUCCUUUUCUCCCCAGAGCUGCAAUAGCAGCAAUCAGUCUGUAAACAGCAGCACAGGGAGCACUCCUAGCCCUGUUAUAAAACCAGGCAGCUCCUGUGAAGGAAGGGAGACGUAUGCAGAGCACAUGGACACCAGCAAGCUGUUGCUGGGGAAUGAUCGAUCCCAGCAAAACCUAAAAAAUGACAUGACUGUACAAAAGAGCCUGAUGUUUCAAAUACCACAAGGCCAUAAACCUGGCACCUUCCCCACAGUACUUACAGACAGCUCUCUGUCUCCAGCAGACAACUCUUCCGUCAACUGGAGAACUGGGAGCUUCCACGGGUGCAGGAGGAGCCGGAGCAGGAGCGGUUCCAGGGACCCCAGAGGCGCCAGGAGCCCCGUGCUGGGCAGGGAUCACAGGCUGAGUGUGUAUGACAACAUGCCCAGCCCCGAGCUGCAGGGUCUGGAGGCCGCGCAAGUCGGCGACGACGACAUUUUCUCAGAGCUGAACAGCGUCAUAGCAGAUGUCAAUGGUCUCAAGAAGCUGGUUGAUCAGUGGACAGAGAAGUUAUCAGAUGAUGGGGAUUCUGACUUUACCAGUGACUUGACCUCUUUGUAUCCACCCUCCCCUAAAGAAAGCUCUGUAGAAACAGAGGGCUCAGAAGAUAAGACAGCAGGGGAGGCUGAGGGAGAGAGCAGCUGUGGCCUGGGCAAGGAGAUUGGUUCUGCAGACCUGACAUACAUCACAGACUCUAAAAAGACCAACAGGCACGGGAAGCAGCACUGGUCUGUGGAAGAGAACCUGGAAAGCCUUUCCCUCCAGAAUGAUGGCCAGUCAGCUGCCCAGCUGGCCCGCACACAAAAGCUGGCACUGUUGAAACUCACAGCUUUAAUGGACAGAUAUUCCCCUUGCAGUAAGCAGGGCUGGAACUGGUGUGUGGCAGAAUUUGGGGUUGUGACAAGGUGGAGCUCAGCCCUUUCUGAUGAGUGUAAAGGAGCAGGUGCAAUGUGCUGGACACCUAGUAAGCUGCAUCUACAUGGUUUUGUUUCCAGGACCAUUCCAAAGUUCAUUAAAAAGCCAAAAGCUUCAGACUACAAGGACAAAAAUGUGUUUGGGGUUCCUUUACUUCUGAAUGUGCAGCGAACAAGCCACCCCCUGCCCAAUGGCAUCCUGCAAGCCCUGGAGUAUCUGAGAAGCCACUUUCUUGACCAGGUUGGCCUGUUCCGAAAAUCCGGUGUUAAAUCCAGGAUCCUGUCUUUAAGAGAAAUGAAUGAAACCAACCCAAACAAUGUCUGUUAUGAAGGGCAGUCAGCAUUUGACGUGGCAGAUAUGGUGAAGCAGUAUUUCCGUGACCUUCCUGAGCCUAUAUUUACCAGCAGGCUCUGUGAAUCCUUCCUCCACAUCUACCAGUACGUGCCGAAGGACGAGCAGUUUCAGGCUGUCCAGGCUGCUAUUCUCCUUCUCCCCAAGGAAAACCGAGAAGCUUUGAAAAUCCUCCUGUUCUUCCUGCGCGAUGUGGUGGCUUUUGUUGAGGAAAACCAGAUGACCCCAACCAACAUUGCUGUCUGUCUGGCACCUUCUUUGUUUCACCUCAACACCCUGAGGCGGGACAGUUCCUCCUCCUCAACCAGAUCCAGUCAGAGGAAGUGCAGCUUGGGGAAGCCAGACCAGAGGGAGCUGAACGAGAACCUGGCAGCAACGCAGGGCUUGGCCCACAUGAUAAUGGAGUGCAACAGGCUCUUCCAGACUGACUUCCCAGCUUGACCGCGGCCUUUGCCCAUCAUUAUGGACUUGCCUAGUGAUCCUUAGACUGUGGCUAACCUGGUUGCUGUCCCUGGACCUGAUCCUGACCUCCCUUCCUGGCUGACUCACCUUCCUGGCUCCACCUCGGACCUCAUCGCCGUGGAUGUGUCUGAUGAUCUUUACUCUUGGCUGACCCUGGCUGCCACCUCUGGCUCAGCUCCGGCGGUGUGGGACAGGGCAGCUGCCCUGCCAGCCCUGUUGUCCCACCUGACCCCUGGCCCCUUUCCCUCAGGGGUGCUGUCCACACUCCAGCAGUCAGCUCAGACCUUCUAAUCCUCUGCUCCAGCUGCUCGUCUGGGCAGGGGACACUGCCCCUUGGCUCCCCUGCACUGACACAUGGCCCUGCCCCAGGGCUGCCCCAGCACUGAUUCCACAACCAGUGCCUGGCUUGAGUGACAUCCCACCCCAGGACAGCUGAGAUUCCCAGGGGUCUGAUCCCUGCAUGGCAUCAGUCUCCAGCCCAGACAGGCCUCCUAAGUGCCCCUCUCCACCCCCAGCCUAACCAUGGGCCCUUGUUUCCCCCACAGUGGCCUGAACCCUUGUGCCCAGAUCUGAGGCCCUUGGGGUGCCCUGACACCACGGCCUGCCCCGUACCCUCUGGUCAGCCCUGGCAGCACAGAGCUGGCCCUGUUCCUGGCUGCAUGGGCCCGUGGAAUAGCCCCAUGGAACUCUGAGCUACCCUUGCACACAUGGACACUCCACACACCCCUGCUAUGACCAUUGCUGACUCCAGCCCUGAGCUGUGGGGCUGCCCCUCACCCCGGGGUGCUGCUGGUGUCACCCCCUCCCUGCCAGGGUAGGCACUGGGUGCUGAGACUGAGGGAUUGCCUGGAGAGGGCUGUCCCCCUUCUGCUGGAGGCCACAGCUCAGCGUGGCAGCCUGUGCCAUGCCCGUGCCUGGAGGAACACCUGGGUCUGCUGCUCUGGACCCAGAGCUGGACUGGUCACUGUGGCCACCACUGGACUGCGGCUGACGCUGCUUCUGCCACUGAAGUGGCCCCGCGAGCAGGACCCGGCUCGUCGCCGCUGCCACCCCGGCGUGGCCCCAGGUAAAACUGCUGCCUGCCUCCCCGCACCAUCACAGAUGACAUCAAAGGCUGGGUGGCCUGCUCAUACCUGGCACCUAAGGGAACCGCUACAUCCUCUGCACAGGCUUAAUCCCCAGGAUGUCGAAUCCU